AUGCCAUGGAAGGUCUCUCUUGUUCUCUGUUUCAUUCAUGGUCAUGAUGAUCUAGGUUUAGCUAGGAAUCUGCUACUUUUAGGCUUAACCUAUUGUUCAUGGAUGAUCUCUUCUCCUUCUGCAGCAGCAGCAGGAUGGAUUUGGCACAGCGGAGAUUGGCCUCCGCGCCGACGUCGGCCACAAAUUUGCCUGCGUGCUACAGUGGAAGCUUGGAACAAAGAAAGAGGUAAACUGAAGCCUGGAAAAGGCAAGAAGGUAGCCUGCUUUGAUUUGCAUACAUCUCAGGCUGUGGAGCUCUAG
Molecule: ribosomal RNA, 300 nt
Filed under: Triticum aestivum (bread wheat)
Lineage: Eukaryota; Viridiplantae; Streptophyta; Magnoliopsida; Poales; Poaceae
Description: partial small subunit ribosomal RNA
Source: RNAcentral